This 409-nucleotide ribosomal RNA is filed under the name bacterium. RNAcentral describes it as "partial 16S ribosomal RNA". It matches the Rfam family "Bacterial small subunit ribosomal RNA", at positions 355 to 776 of the family's 1533-position model. The record is from RNAcentral.
UGGGGAAUAUUGCACAAUGGGCGAAAGCCUGAUGCAGCGACGCCGCGUGAGGGAUGACGGCCUUCGGGUUGUAAACCUCUUUCAGUAGGGACGAAGCGCAAGUGACGGUACCUGCAGAAGAAGCACCGGCUAACUACGUGCCAGCAGCCGCGGUAAUACGUAGGGUGCGAGCGUUGUCCGGAAUUACUGGGCGUAAAGAGCUCGUAGGCGGUUUGUCACGUCGCCUGUGAAAUCCUAGGGCUUAACCCUGGACGUGCAGGCGAUACGGGCUGACUUGAGUACUACAGGGGAGACUGGAAUUUCUGGUGUAGCGGUGGAAUGCACAGAUAUCAGGAAGAACACCGAUGGCGAAGGCAGGUCUCUGGGUAGUAACUGACGCUGAGGAGCGAAAGCAUGGGUAGCGAACAGG